This is a long non-coding RNA of Oncorhynchus keta (chum salmon), 647 nucleotides long. RefSeq lists it as uncharacterized. The record is from RefSeq and is a predicted model, not a curated record. The transcript has 3 exons. Lineage: Eukaryota; Metazoa; Chordata; Actinopteri; Salmoniformes; Salmonidae.
CCUUAUGACAGGUCACAGAUACUGAUAGGACAGGCCUAUGACAGGUCACAGAUACUGAUAGGACAGGCCUAUGACAGGUCACAGGUACUGAUACGACAGGCUUAUGACAGGUCACAGGUACUGAUACGACAGGCCAAUGACAGGUCACAGGUACUGAUACGACAGGCCUAUGACAGGUCACAGGUACUGAUACGACAGGCCAAUGACAGGUCACAGGUACUGAUACGACAGGCUUAUGACAGGUCACAGGUACUGAUACGACAGGCUUAUGACAGGUCACAGGUACUGAUACGACAGGCCUAUGACAGGUCACAGGUACUGAUACGACAGGCUUAUGACAGGUCACAGGUACUGAUACGACAGGCUUAUGACAGGUCACAGAUACUGAUAGGACAGGCCUAUGACAGGUCACAGGUACUGAUACGACAGGCUUAUGACAGGUCACAGGUACUGAUACGACAGGCUUAUGACAGGUCACAGGUACUGAUACGACAGGCCUAUGACAGGUCACAGGUACUGAUACGACAGUCUUAUGACAGGUGCUGAUACGACAGUCCUAUGACAGGUCACAGGUGCUGAUACGACAGUCCUAUGACAGGUUACAGGUGCUGAUACGACAGUCCUAUGACAGGUUACAGGUGCUGAUA